UUGCCAGCUGUUGAUGGGGUACAAGUAGUUAUUUUCAUAGUAAUUACUUUCUUUCUACGCUGCUUCGUCCCCUAUCCAAGUCCACCUUGACUUCCAAAGAACCCAUCGAUUCAUAAACCCUAUAGAUUUUGGGUGUUUUCCCCAAAUCAACUGCAAUUUUGUGAGAAAGUAAGAAUUGAGCGAUGGCCGAAUUCCUAUGGACUUUUGCUGCGGAAGAAAUGUUGAAGAAGGUUGUCAAACUUGCAGCUGAGCAAACUGGGUUGGCAUGGAGCUUGGAGAAGGAGCUAUCAGAGUUGACAGAAUGGCUACUGAAGGCAGAAACCUUCUUGCGUGAUAUACACACAACAACAUUACAUCAGGAUUCAGUGAAACUGUGGGUGGAUAAACUUCAAAAUCUUGCCAAUCAAGCAGAUGAUGUAUUAGACAAGCUUGUUUAUGAAGAUCUUCGAGGAAAGGUAGCAAAAGAAAAAAUGAAAAAAGGUACAUGCUUUUGUUUCUGCUUGCAGUAAUGCUUUCCUGUUUCGUGCAAAGAUGGCAAAAAGAAUGAAAAGCAUUAAGGACUUGUUACGUAAACAUUAUUGUGAAGCAGGUCCUUUAGGACUCGUUAGCAAUGAAUCUACAGAGCUAGAGACUGAAAUUAGCCAACUUCGAGAGACGAUCUCAGAGUUGGAUGAUUUUGAAAUAGUGGGAAGGAAUGAUGAAGUUUCAAGCAUAGUGAAACAAGUGAUCGAUGCAAAAAAGAAGCAUACUACAUCUAUCCUACCCAUCGUGGGUAUGAGUGGAUUGGGAAAAACAACUCUGGCAAAAUUGGUAUUUAAUCACCCUAAGAUCAAACAAUAUUUUGAUGAAACUAUAUGGGUCUGUGUGUCUGAACCUUUUCUUAUCAAUAAGAUUUUGGGAACAAUCUUAGUAACUUUAAAAGGUACUUCCAGUGGCUUGGACAAUAAGGAGGCUUUGCUUCGUGAGCUUAAAUAUGAGAUGCGCCACAAAAGUUAUUUUCUUGUACUUGAUGAUGUUUGGAAUGAAAAUCCUUCUUUGUGGGAUGAAUUGAAGAAUUGUUUGAUGAAGAUCACUGAAAAAUCUGAAAAUAGUUUCGUUGUGACUACAAGGAGUGUUGAAGUUGCAAGAAUCAUGGAAACGCUUCCAACUCAUCAUUUAAGCAAAUUAUCUGACGAUCAAUGUUGGUCUUUAUUUCAAGCGAGUUCAAAUGCAAUUGGACUACCAAUGACUUCAAGUUUGACACUUCUUCGAGAAGAGUUGGUUAAAAAAAUUGGUGGAAUACCGUUAGUUGCAAGAGUUUUGGGAAGGGCAUUAAAAUUUCAAGGAAACUAUGAUAGAUGGGUGACCAUGUUGGAAAGUGAAAUAAGAACACCAUUUGAAGAAGAAAAUUUUGUGUUAUACGUUUUAAAAUUAAGUGUAGAACGUCUACCUUCCUGUUCUUUGAAACAAUGUUUUGCCUACUGUUCAAAUUUUUCCAAAGAUUUUGAAUUUGAAAAAGAACAAUUGAUUCAAAUGUGGAUAGCACAAGGAUUUAUUCAUCUAAAGAAAGGAAGAAGCAACAAAACAUUGGAAGAUGAAGGAGAUAUGUACUUCAAGAUAUUGUUAUCUCGUUGCUUAUUUCAAGAUGUGAACAAGGAUGAUAGAGGGAGAAUUAUAAGUUGUAAGAUGCAUGAUCUUAUACAUGACAUUGCAUGUGAUGUUUCAAAUAACAAAAGUUUUCAAUUAGAACAUAGCAAUGCAUUGCAAAUGAAACAUUGGACGAGUAAGACUAAGAAAUUUGCUAGGCAGGCACGCACUAUACUUUGUCACGAACUAAUUCCUUCUACAAUAGAGAAGAUGAUUUGUGAUAAAAUUUUGAACUUCGUUGGUUUGCGUGUUUUGGUGAUGAACUCGUGGGAUAUUUAUGAAUUACCUGAUUCGAUUCAUAAGUUAAUGCACUUGAGAUACCUCGACGUGUCCCAUUGUAGAUUGGAGAAGCUUCCAAAUUCUCUCUGUUUGCUUUAUCAUUUACAAACAUUAAGGAUUGAAGGCAAACAUAUUCAAGAGCUUCCGAAUAAUUUAAGAGAACUGGUUAGUUUAAGACAUUUUGUAUUUUCAAACGGACAUGUCGACUACAUACAAAUGCCUCCACAUUUGAGCCAAUUGACUCAACUUCAAACGUUGUCUAUAUUUGUAGCAGGAUCUAAAGAGGGUUGGAAGAUAACCGAACUCGGACCUCUAAAAAACCUAAAAGGUAGUUUGAAACUUACACAUUUGGAGCAUGUCAAGUGUAAAGAAGAAGCUGAAAGUGCAAACUUGGAUGAAAAGGAGAACUUACAUGGUCUAGAUUUCAUUUGGAGUUGCAAUUCUCAUAGAAAAGUCAACAAUCACAAUGAUUUGGAAGUGUUGAAAGGAUUUCGACCACAUGAACAUCUACAACAUUUGAAGAUUCGAUCCUUUCGAGGUAAAACAUUGCCUAACGAUAUUUUCAUUGAAAAUUUGGUAACAAUAACUCUAUUUCGUUGUCAAAAUUGUGAAAUGCUUCCAAUGCUUGGACAAUUGACCAACCUCGAGGAACUUCAUCUCUCUCAUUUAUAUUGUGUACAAAGUAUAGGAAAUGAAUUUUAUGGUAAUAAUUCCAACCAAAGGAUCAUUCUUUUCCCUAAGUUAAAGAAAUUUAUACUCGAACGCAUGGACUACCUAAAGCAAUGGGAAGAAGUGAGAGUGGGAUCAAAUGUUACAACUUUUCCUCAUCUCCAAGUAUUGAAAGUAUCUGAUUGUCCCAUGUUAUUGAACAUUCCAAAUAUGUUUGGGUUUUGUGAUGAGAAUGGUGUGCAAAACCUUAGAGUUGUUGAAAUUUUGGAAUGUUUCCAAUUGACCAACAUUCCAAAUGGGCUCCAACGUUGUCAUUCCAUUCAAGAUUUGAGAAUAAAGCAGUGUUGUUCCUGUUUUACUCUAAACUUGGAACAUAGGAACUUGUUGUCUUCUUUAAGGAUCAUGUUGCCUGAGAAGUUUCUUCAACUCACUAACUUGGAGGUGAAUGAAGUGAACAUUUUUGGAUGCCUCCAACAUUAUGGACCCCUUAACUUGUGUUCUUCUGCACAGCUUAGGCUUCCCAUUGGAUUGGUUAAUUCCUUGCAAGAUUUGUCGAUGCAAAACUUUGUUGGUAGCAUUGAAGCUUUGCCUCGAUGGUUGGAAAACCACACUUCUUUGCAGAAAUUGAGCCUUUCCUUCUGCAUAAAUUGUGGAAAUUGAAUGAUCUUUUCUUUUGUACAAUUUUGUUAAAUUUGCAACUAAUUCUAAUGUUUUCUUUUUAAUUUAGCAUAAGUGUAUUGUAAGAUUUAUUUUUGUUUUUUUUUUUUUUUUCAUUUAGCAAUGAGAGGAAAAAGAAACAAAAAGAAACAAGGAAAUGCAAGCUUCGGAAAAAAAAAAGUUCAAUCGACCUGAAAAAGAAGACGAAAAAAUUGUGAAGCUUAUGGGAUUUUUCAAGUAGUAAUAAUAAGGGCAAUUGUUUCAAAUAACAAAACAAUAGAAAAUAUUUUCAAAUAUAGCAAAAUAACAUUGUCUACCAAUGAUAGAUACUUAUAAACAUAUGUCAGUGUCAGUCUGACACGAAUCCUUAUUAAUGUCUAUCAUUGAUAAACAGUGAUAUUUUGCUACAUUUGUAAAUAAGUUGAUCUAUUUUGUUGUAUUUGAAAAUAACUCUAAUCAUAAUUGGUGUAGCUUUGCAUGGGUCGUAUAAGGAAAAAAGAAAAAGGCAAAAAAAAAAAAAGGGAAAGUUUGUGAAAAGUAGAAAGAGAAACAGAGAGGGAAAGAAAUUGAGAUAGAAAGAGAGAUUGGGAGAAAUCAAGAGGAAAAGAAGCACAAUGUCAUAAAUCCACUCAAAGGCAAGCACGUCGAAGCUACGUGGAGAAGGAGAGAAGAGAAGACGAGCCCAAAAAAUUUAAGUGGUUCGGCAAUAAAGGCCUAGAUUUUAAUCUCGAAGGGGUAAUACAAAGAAUUUUAUAGUAGCUUUUCAGCCUUUACAUAUGGAUGAAACAGAACAAUUCAAGAGCAAUUACAUCGACCUGACGUUGGUUAUUUUUGUAAUUUUGAAUGCAAAACAAAGAAGUUGUUUUCUACAAAAGAUUCCAGAAAGUAUACUUUUGGCAGACAAUUCCAAAAUCGCCCUCUGGAAAGAUCUUGAGAAAGGAACUGAAAGCCAAGCUCUCAGUCUCACCAACCUUUUAAAAGCCUCGUGGAGUGAGAGAGAGAGGGGGAGUUAUCAUAAACUUCCAUGGAAGAGACUGUGGUAGUAGGUCUGGAGGAGACACGGUUGAGGACGUUGGCCUCGAUUUUUAAGGAAAUUGACGACAUGGCAGGGCAGACGCCCAACGACGUCGGUUGAAUAGACGACGACGAGGGAAUUGUGCGUUCGAAGGAUCAUCAAGGGAAGACAUGAAUCUGAUAGGAAAAUUUUAUGAGGGGCACAUUUUUCAUUUGUUGAUCAUCUUCUGUUUUCUGUUGUAGUUAUACAAUUUUGUAAAUAAUGAUUUUCAUAUUUUAUAACCGUACAGUUGUUGCUUAUUUUGAACCUUUGGUUCUGCUUUAUCAAGUAACUGUGUAACAUAAAAAGAAUAUUUAUGUUAAUGCCUUCAAGCUCUAUGAACUUUCAAAUAUGAGUUCAAGAUGA
Benincasa hispida (wax gourd) is the source of this 4651-nucleotide non-coding RNA. Lineage: Eukaryota; Viridiplantae; Streptophyta; Magnoliopsida; Cucurbitales; Cucurbitaceae. The record is from RefSeq and is a predicted model, not a curated record.